GGCGGAUGUAGCCAAGUGGAUCCAGGCAGUGGAUUGUGAAUCCACCAUGCG
Molecule: transfer RNA, 51 nt
Filed under: Danthonia spicata (poverty oat grass)
Lineage: Eukaryota; Viridiplantae; Streptophyta; Magnoliopsida; Poales; Poaceae
Description: partial tRNA-His
Source: RNAcentral